Small nucleolar RNA from Gossypium arboreum, 103 nucleotides. It matches the Rfam family "Small nucleolar RNA snoR99". Lineage: Eukaryota; Viridiplantae; Streptophyta; Magnoliopsida; Malvales; Malvaceae. The record is from Rfam.
GUGCUUAAGGGAUGAAGAAGUCCCUUAAACUCAAUAUCCAUCUAAAUCACUUUGUCAGUGGCCUUUUUUGGUGGCGUAUUGAUCAUUACCGGAUGGAAAAUUC